ACUAUCCGCCCGGGAACUACGAGCAUUAGCUUGAAACCCAAAGGACUUGGCGGUGCUUUAGACCCAUCUAGAGGAGCCUGUUCUUGAAACCGAUAACCCCCGUUAAACCUCACCUUUUCUUGCCCCAUUCCGCCUAUAUACCGCCGUCGUCAGCUUACCCCCUGAGGGAUCUAUAGUAAGCACAAUUGGCACAGCCCAAAACGUCAGGGCGAGGUGUAGCCUAUGAAAAGGAAAGAAAUGGGCUACAUUCUCUCACGAAGAGAAUACGAAAAAUCGCACUGAAAUAUGCAUCUUGAAGGAGGAUUUAGAAGUAAGCAGGAAAUAGAGCGUCCUGCUG
This 337-nucleotide ribosomal RNA is filed under the name Plectropomus areolatus (squaretail coralgrouper). RNAcentral's name for it is "partial small subunit ribosomal RNA". It matches the Rfam family "Bacterial small subunit ribosomal RNA", at positions 864 to 1364 of the family's 1533-position model. Lineage: Eukaryota; Metazoa; Chordata; Actinopteri; Perciformes; Serranidae. The record is from RNAcentral.